AAAUUAGGGCGUUACACAACCCGUAUGCCUCACACGGCCAGUAGACAUGCCCGUGUGUCUAAGCCGUGUAACUCACCGACUUGAUUUUAAAGAGAGCUUCAGGGGACACACGGCCGUGUACCAUGACUGUGUGUCACACACUAUAACACCCCCUACCCGUAUCCAUCGCCGGAAUAGAGUACGAGGCAUUACCAAGAAGCACG
Molecule: long non-coding RNA, 203 nt
Filed under: Gossypium barbadense (sea-island cotton)
Lineage: Eukaryota; Viridiplantae; Streptophyta; Magnoliopsida; Malvales; Malvaceae
Description: long non-coding RNA (GBAR_LNC008225)
Source: RNAcentral